Molecule: ribosomal RNA, 465 nt
Filed under: Vreelandella stevensii
Lineage: Bacteria; Pseudomonadati; Pseudomonadota; Gammaproteobacteria; Oceanospirillales; Halomonadaceae
Description: partial 16S ribosomal RNA
Rfam family: Bacterial small subunit ribosomal RNA
Source: RNAcentral
CCUACGGGUGGCUGCAGUGGGGAAUAUUGGACAAUGGGGGGAACCCUGAUCCAGCCAUGCCGCGUGUGUGAAGAAGGCCCUCGGGUUGUAAAGCACUUUCAGUGAGGAAGAACGCCUGGUGGUUAAUACCCAUCAGGAAAGACAUCACUCACAGAAGAAGCACCGGCUAACUCCGUGCCAGCAGCCGCGGUAAUACGGAGGGUGCAAGCGUUAAUCGGAAUUACUGGGCGUAAAGCGCGCGUAGGUGGCUUGAUAAGCCGGUUGUGAAAGCCCCGGGCUCAACCUGGGAACGGCAUCCGGAACUGUCAAGCUAGAGUGCAGGAGAGGAAGGUAGAAUUCCCGGUGUAGCGGUGAAAUGCGUAGAGAUCGGGAGGAAUACCAGUGGCGAAGGCGGCCUUCUGGACUGACACUGACACUGAGGUGCGAAAGCGUGGGUAGCAAACAGGAUUAGAUACCCCGGUAGUC